UUAAUUGAAGAGUUUGAUCAUGGCUCAGAUUGAACGCUGGCGGCAGGCCUAACACAUGCAAGUCGAGCGGUAACAGAAAGUAGCUUGCUACUUUGCUGACGAGCGGCGGACGGGUGAGUAAUGCUUGGGAACAUGCCUUGAGGUGGGGGACAACAGUUGGAAACGACUGCUAAUACCGCAUAAUGUCUACGGACCAAAGGGGGCUU
This 206-nucleotide ribosomal RNA is filed under the name Pseudoalteromonas distincta. Its description in RNAcentral is "partial 16S ribosomal RNA". It matches the Rfam family "Bacterial small subunit ribosomal RNA", at positions 1 to 213 of the family's 1533-position model. Lineage: Bacteria; Pseudomonadati; Pseudomonadota; Gammaproteobacteria; Alteromonadales; Pseudoalteromonadaceae. The record is from RNAcentral.